RNAcentral lists this ribosomal RNA (622 nucleotides) under Hanseniaspora uvarum. RNAcentral describes it as "eukaryotic LSU rRNA". It matches the Rfam family "Eukaryotic large subunit ribosomal RNA", at positions 36 to 664 of the family's 3401-position model. Lineage: Eukaryota; Fungi; Ascomycota; Saccharomycetes; Saccharomycodales; Saccharomycodaceae. The record is from RNAcentral.
UGGCAUAUCAAAAAGCGGAGGAAAAGAAACCAACUGGGAUUACCUUAGUAACGGCGAGUGAAGCGGUAAAAGCUCAAAUUUGAAAUCUGGUACUUUCAGUGCCCGAGUUGUAAUUUGUAGAAUUUGUCUUUGAUUAGGUCCUUGUCUAUGUUCCUUGGAACAGGACGUCAUAGAGGGUGAGAAUCCCGUUUGGCGAGGAUACCUUUUCUCUGUAAGACUUUUUCGAAGAGUCGAGUUGUUUGGGAAUGCAGCUCAAAGUGGGUGGUAAAUUCCAUCUAAAGCUAAAUAUUGGCGAGAGACCGAUAGCGAACAAGUACAGUGAUGGAAAGAUGAAAAGAACUUUGAAAAGAGAGUGAAAAAGUACGUGAAAUUGUUGAAAGGGAAGGGCAUUUGAUCAGACAUGGUGUUUUUUGCAUGCACUCGCCUCUCGUGGGCUUGGGCCUCUCAAAAAUUUCACUGGGCCAACAUCAAUUCUGGCAGCAGGAUAAAUCAUUAAGAAUGUAGCUACUUCGGUAGUGUUAUAGCUUUUUGGAAUACUGUUAGCCGGGAUUGAGGACUGCGCUUCGGCAAGGAUGUUGGCAUAAUGGUUAAAUGCCGCCCGUCUUGAAACACGGACAUCAAA